UCGCCCCGGGGAUCGGCGGGGUUGAUCUUGAACUCCUUGACGUGGAGCUUGGCGAGAAGUUCGUCCAGCGUCAGGAUCCAUUCCUCGGGGUGGCC
RNAcentral lists this transfer RNA (95 nucleotides) under Planctomycetes bacterium ADurb.Bin069. RNAcentral describes it as "tRNA-Val". The record is from RNAcentral. Lineage: Bacteria; Pseudomonadati; Planctomycetota.